GUGUUGUAUGAAAGGGGAGACGGUUAGAACUCCCUUUGACAAGGAUGGAGGAGUCCCUCAUACCUCCCAGCAUGCGUGUUGUUAAGGUACCUGUUUUGCAGCAUCUAACCAAAGUUUUUC
RNAcentral lists this non-coding RNA (120 nucleotides) under Procavia capensis (Cape rock hyrax). Lineage: Eukaryota; Metazoa; Chordata; Mammalia; Hyracoidea; Procaviidae. The record is from RNAcentral.